Molecule: small nucleolar RNA, 134 nt
Organism: Myotis lucifugus (little brown bat)
Lineage: Eukaryota; Metazoa; Chordata; Mammalia; Chiroptera; Vespertilionidae
Source: Ensembl
UUACUGUUAAGUAAGAGGUCCCCCCCCCCAGAAGAACAGGGUUAAAUAAGUUGCUCAGUUACACAGCACAUGCUUGCAUGUAACUGGGGCACACAGCUUCUAGCUUGUGUUCCCUUUAACUGCGAGCUACAUGG